CUGGCGGCGUGCCUAAUACAUGCAAGUCGAGCGGACAGAUGGGAGCUUGCUCCCUGAUGUUAGCGGCGGACGGGUGAGUAACACGUGGGUAACCUGCCUGUAAGACUGGGAUAACUCCGGGAAACCGGGGCUAAUACCGGAUGGUUGUUUGAACCGCAUGGUUCAAACAUAAAAGGUGGCUUCGGCUACCACUUACAGAUGGACCCGCGGCGCAUUAGCUAGUUGGUGAGGUAACGGCUCACCAAGGCAACGAUGCGUAGCCGACCUGAGAGGGUGAUCGGCCACACUGGGACUGAGACACGGCCCAGACUCCUACGGGAGGCAGCAGUAGGGAAUCUUCCGCAAUGGACGAAAGUCUGACGGAGCAACGCCGCGUGAGUGAUGAAGGUUUUCGGAUCGUAAAGCUCUGUUGUUAGGGAAGAACAAGUACCGUUCGAAUAGGGCGGUACCUUGACGGUACCUAACCAGAAAGCCACGGCU
This 480-nucleotide ribosomal RNA is filed under the name Bacillus subtilis. RNAcentral describes it as "bacterial SSU rRNA". It matches the Rfam family "Bacterial small subunit ribosomal RNA", at positions 36 to 498 of the family's 1533-position model. The record is from RNAcentral. Lineage: Bacteria; Bacillati; Bacillota; Bacilli; Caryophanales; Bacillaceae.